AUCAACUUUCGAUGGUAGGAUAGAGGCCUACCAUGGUGGUAACGGGUAACGGGGUGUUAGGGCACGACACCGGAGAGGGAGCCUGAGAAACGGCUACCACAUCCAAGGAUGGCAGCAGGCGCGCAAAUUACCCAAUCCCGACACGGGGAGGUAGUGACAAUAAAUANCAAUACGGGGCUCUUUAGGGUCUCGUAAUUGGAAUGAGUACAAUUUAAAUCUCUUAACGAGGAACAAUUGGAGGGCAAGUCUGGUGCCAGCAGCCGCGGUAAUUCCAGCUCCAAUAGCGUAUAUUAAAGUUGUUGCAGUUAAAAAGCUCGUAGUUGAAUUUCGGGAUCAGCAGGUUGGUCGUGCCUUUGGUAUGCACUGGUUUCGCUGAUUCCUCCUUUCUGAAGAACUGUAAUGUCAUUAAUUUGGUGUUGCAGGGAAACAGGACUGUUACUUUGAAAAAAUUAGAGUGUUUAAAGCAGGCUAACGCUUGAAUACAUUAGCAUGGAAUAAUGAAAUAGGACGUUUGAUCCUAUUUUGUUGGUUUCUAGGAUUGACGUAAUGAUUAAUAGGGAUAGUUGGGGGCAUUAGUAUUCAAUUGUCAGAGGUGAAAUUCUUGGAUUUAUUGAAGACUAACUACUGCGAAAGCAUUUGCCAAGGAUGUUUUCAUUAAUCAAGAACGAAAGUUAGGGGAUCGAAGACGAUCAGAUACCGUCGUAGUCUUAACCAUAAACUAUGCCGACUAGGGAUCGGAUGAUGUUAAUUUUUUAAUGACUCAUUCGGCGCCUUACGGGAAACCAAAGUGUUUGGGUUC
This 799-nucleotide ribosomal RNA is filed under the name uncultured Glomeromycotina. RNAcentral describes it as "SSU rRNA". It matches the Rfam family "Eukaryotic small subunit ribosomal RNA", at positions 314 to 1114 of the family's 1831-position model. Lineage: Eukaryota; Fungi; Glomeromycota. The record is from RNAcentral.